GGGCGGGAGGGCCCGGGGCGUGUUCCCGCCGGGGCUGCGGGCCUCCGGGGCACCCUGACAACUGGAGAAACUGAGGCACAGACUGUCUCAAGGCCGCACUAUGAGUUAGCAAACCACAGGAGCGCCCAGUGAAAGCCUGCGACGAGUGGCCUGACAGAGGCCGGGAUUUUCCCAGGCCCUGAGUCCUGGGGGUCUGAAGAGGACCAGAGGGGCUGGGGACUCCUGAAGGCCUGGGCGCCCGCUUCCGGGACAUCUCCGCCGGGUGGAACGAGCCGGAUCGCCGCGAGGGUCCCCGGCCUCACGAAAUUAAUGAGGAAGAUGCCUUUCCUCAAUGGAGGAGGAGAGAUUCCGUUUAACCUCUGCAGACAGCAAGACAGGGACCACUCUCCCCCCAAGCCUGGCGGCAGCAUGGACUUGAAGGCACGUUAACAGGAGCCAGGAAUUGGAGGGUCUUCUCAAACUUGGCAACCAACGUUGAAUUGCCUGAGCUGGAGCUCAGGAUGACCGACCCAUGUCUUGCUCUGACUUUGCACAUCUCAGUUCUCACUUAUCUGUUCAAGAAAUAUUAUUGAGGACCUUCAUUCCGCUUGAGCUUCUGAAAUUAUGGAUCUCAAACUCUAGAUUAGAAAAUGACACAGAAGCCAUGAAAUGGAAGGGUAGAAGGCUUUGCAGAAGGACCAAUGUUUGUUAUGAGUCCUGACAGAUGAAAAGGAGUUCCCUCGGUGGUGUCAGUUCAUCUUCUGUAAGAUAACAUGGUUAAACUAGAUCUACAAGAGGACUCAUUUAGUCCUAAUAGAUUCCGUGUUUAUGACCCGCCUGUAACCAAUUUUUUUCUUCUGUGUGUAUCCCUCUAGGGAGUUGAGAGACCUCCAUGGACUUCCUGUCAUCAUCCCUUAUUUUGUUAGCUGAAGCAAUCCAACUUGAGCUUUUGGUCUUGAAUUUCCCAGUUGUGUUUGGAAGCCAAAGCAUUGUCACAUUAGCUCAUCUAUAAUCUUCUUAGGGAAUGGUCUCUUGAGCUCACAGAUUUAUUUCCAUCCAUCCAGUUCCCAAGGCAUUUCACUUAGUAACCUUAGUGGUACAUUUGCUGGUAAUUAUGCCCAGCCUUGGUCAUAAAGCCCGUUUGCUCAACAACAAAAUGUGAGUGCCUGCAGUCAAUACUCUCAGCCUUCCCAACUGCUCUUGUCUUCCCUUUCUUCCUCUAGGACACGCAGUUUAGGAUACAACAUGCAGCCAGGACUUCGAUUAACUAGGAUCCUGAUACUCUGCCACAACAGGUCAAAUUUCGUGCUUUGACGGCUUUUUCAUCCAUGGGACAGGAGCCAGCUGCUAGGGCAAAGCUUGAAACAGCAGUGGUCAUCUGACAAGUAGUUGGCUAAUUACCUAUCUAUUCUGCUAUGGAAAAUUAUGGGGUUUUUUUAUCUUCUCAAUUUUUAUGGAUGUUUGCACUGUAAAAGAACAAUUUGUGAAACUUUUAGAGAAGUAAGAUAACAGUCUUCAAAUUUG
This is a non-coding RNA of Equus caballus (horse), 1503 nucleotides long. NCBI's taxonomy places the organism in Eukaryota, Metazoa, Chordata, Mammalia, Perissodactyla, Equidae. The record is from RefSeq and is a predicted model, not a curated record.